GGAGAUAUAGCUCAGGUGGUAGAGUGCCUGCCUCGUAUGCCCUAGGCCCCGGGUUCAAUUCCCAGCACCACCA
This 73-nucleotide transfer RNA is filed under the name Ictidomys tridecemlineatus (thirteen-lined ground squirrel). Its description in RNAcentral is "Spermophilus tridecemlineatus (thirteen-lined ground squirrel) tRNA". It matches the Rfam family "tRNA". From Rfam's summary of the family: Transfer RNA (tRNA) molecules are approximately 80 nucleotides in length. Their secondary structure includes four short double-helical elements and three loops (D, anti-codon, and T loops). The record is from Rfam by way of RNAcentral. Lineage: Eukaryota; Metazoa; Chordata; Mammalia; Rodentia; Sciuridae.